RNAcentral lists this long non-coding RNA (408 nucleotides) under Capsella rubella. RNAcentral's name for it is "long non-coding RNA (CRUB_LNC001367)". Lineage: Eukaryota; Viridiplantae; Streptophyta; Magnoliopsida; Brassicales; Brassicaceae. The record is from RNAcentral.
GGUGGCGCUGAGCCUGAUGAACUGCAAGAUGGGCAAGGUGUAGCUGUUAACGGUGGUCAUACGACCUAGGUUGGGCUUGUAUACGUCAGCACGAGCAGGGUCGUCAAUGUUUUCGUGGGACCUCAUGCUGCAGAUAGUCUCCUCAAGGCCGUUGUCUUGUGGGCCACGUGGGCGUCUCCUCUCUUCGCUCUCGUAGGGUUGUCUCAAAGGUGGUCGCACGACCUGGAAAGGUCCCUUAACACGAACGAUGUUUCCUCGGUUGUCUUGUUGGUUCUGAAGCUCCUGAGCCAACUGAACGUCAAUUUUCAAUGCCUGAGCAAUGACCUGAGCGUCGAAGCCGCUCCACAUGUUCUUCUGUUCUUGUUGUUGCUGUGGACCGCCAAAGCCACCCUGUUGGUUGUUUCCGGC